GUCGCGUUCCGGUUGAAAACAUUCGCAGUGACAGUGACGUGGUAAGAAUUUGGAAAACAUUUAUGUUUUUAUUCUCGUACGACGACGUCGGGAAAUACGAAACAGGCCUUAUUCUAACGGGCAGUAGGACCCAAAUCGGGCUGUAGGAAAUAUCGAAAGUGCAGUUGGCUUCAUGAAUGUAGGGCGCUUUAUAAAAAAAAAUAAUUUUUCUUAUCGUUGAGAAUGAUUGAAUUCUUACUGGGUAUUUGUGCCAAUUUAUAAAUGUGCCUUGUAACUAAACCAGAGUCGCGCAUGUUUAAUUUUUGAGCGUCCCGUAGCGAAAAUGAAUCAUUUUUUCCCCGACGUGUUUUAAAUGUAUUUUUGCUUAUCGGUUUACACACCAUGCGAUUCGUACGCCGCGAUUGUGCCGCGUUUUGUCUGCAGUUCGUUCAUUAUUACUGCUACUGUAUUUCGUUUUUCGAUUCCAUUUUCUUCGUUCGAUUUUGUUUAUUAUUUUUUUUUUUUUUUUUUUUGGGGGGGGAGGAGGGUUAGCAUUAAAGUCAACACGAAUUUCAUAAAAACAAACUUUUCAGUGUAUUUCGGGCAGCAGAUAAAAGUCCAUAGAACAAGCCCCGAUACGAAAAACCGCAUUUUUUUCCCCGCCGGAGGAACGGCGGCUGAUUGUAACGCGCGCUCUUGUUGUAACGUGUGUGUAUGUACGUACACGCGCGUACGCCGAUGAUAACGCAGGGUGCUUGUCGACCGGCGCGCGCCUUUUUAAAGGGUAUGAAAAGAAGAUUUAACGAUUUAUCUAUCGGCGGAGCGAAACGCCGUGCGACCGGCACACGAGUUGCGCCCGGGCCAACAGGCGCUUGCCGAAAUGUACGCGCGCGGGACGCGGCACAGGAUAGCGGACCUAUUUACAUGAAUUUAUCGCGGGAACUCUCCUGGGUGCGGACGCCGCCGCCGUUCGCGAUACCUUUCACGCGGUCUUAUUGGCUUAUCGGAGCGUUUUAAAUUCCGCGCGUGUCGGAUAAUGCGUACUGUCGUCGCGCGGGCGUUAUAGGUGCAGGCGGCAAUAUCAAAUUGUUUUUCAGACCAUGAGCGUGGCGGGGAUUAUAUUGGUUUUGAAAAGACGCGCGAGCGUGCUGCUGGUUUUUUAUCCGACUGACAGUAUUUUUCCACGGAAAUGUCGUUCCGAUUUCCAUUGCGUGAUAUUUUCUGCAAUUGUAUCCAGAUGAUGUAUUAGUGACGAGUAACCGUUUUUUUUUUUUUUUUUUUUUCGUAAUUCCGUUAAAAAUAAUUUAAUAGAGACAUGCAUGUUUCGCAGAAUACUCGUGUUUGCAGACGCGAUGAAGUUUUCAAAGCAUUCUAUCGAUUUUUCCGAGAUGUACGGAACUCAAAUUAUUUACUGCGAUGCAUAACUGAAUUUCGCUCAGGAUCGUGUUUCGUUAACAAUAGUUUAUUGUUGUUUACAGAAAAAAAAUUAAAUAAUUUUACUCGUAUCUUCCUAACUUUCCGUUUACAUCGCAUCCAUUAGCAGUAUCAGCUUUUUUUUUCAAAAUGUCCAAUGUGAACAACUUUUCCACUGGGAAACUCGAAU
This is a non-coding RNA of Cinara cedri, 1582 nucleotides long. The record is from the annotation of a GenBank genome assembly. NCBI's taxonomy places the organism in Eukaryota, Metazoa, Arthropoda, Insecta, Hemiptera, Aphididae.